CAGUCGCCGCGGGAAUACAGAGGGUGCAAGCGUUAAUCGGAAUUACUGGGCGUAAAGCGCGCGUAGGUGGUUUGUUAAGUUGGAUGUGAAAUCCCCGGGCUCAACCUGGGAACUGCAUCCAAAACUGGCAAGCUAGAGUAUGGUAGAGGGUGGUGGAAUUUCCUGUGUAGCGGUGAAAUGCGUAGAUAUAGGAAGGAACACCAGUGGCGAAGGCGACCACCUGGACUGAUACUGACACUGAGGUGCGAAAGCGUGGGGAGCAAACAGGAUUAGAUACCCCUGUAGUCCUGUCUCUUAUACA
Molecule: ribosomal RNA, 301 nt
Filed under: uncultured bacterium
Lineage: Bacteria
Description: partial 16S ribosomal RNA
Rfam family: Bacterial small subunit ribosomal RNA
Source: RNAcentral